CUUGGAUAAAUAUGAAACGAGUGCGAAAGGACCAAUGGGAGGCCGGCAUGCUAAUGAGAGUCGGUCUGAGCUCGCGCUGUAUGUCAAAGAUGGAGUCCGAGGCCGCGAGGCCGCCAACGGACCGGAAACCGCUUUUAACAUCGGGGACACACGGGUCGCGCGCGCCUCCGCCGCUGCACCGGACGCACGUGCUGAUCCCGGCCUGCACCGAGCGGGACGUUCUCUUGUUUGCUCGUGUCUCUCUGCUCCGGACCAAGUGGUUGAAGUCCCGCCGCUCGCGCUGCUCCAGUGGACCGGAGCGCCUCCUCCUCAGGUACCGACCGUCCGUUCCUCAGGCCCGGCGUCGGUAAGCCUCCUCCGCGCGUGUCGAGCAAAGCCUGCGCGCGUGCACGCAGAGAUGAUCCAGGAAGUGGAAGGAUCUCCUUGUUCCUCCUGGUGUUUAAAAGCACAGAGUCCCUGUUAGAUGAAGUGUGUGUGUGUGUGUGUGUGUGUGUUUCUCAGACACACACACACUGACGUGUCCUCAGUGAUGAAACCCUAUCAAUGUUGCCUCUGCUUCAGCCCGACUUCACACAGUAGUGCAAUAUUGCUUAUAGGGUCUCUGCUCUGAGGGAUGGCCUCCAUCCUCUGGAUUCUAUCUUCACUCAUGUUAGCAUGUGGCUAAAGGUGCUUUUAGUCAGAGAAACAAAUGAAAAGUAAUGCUCAUCAUAAUCAUGUUCCACCAAGUUACAUUAUUUUAAUAGCUGUAAUUACUGUGCAGUUAUUUAUAUAUAUAUAUAUAUAUAUAUAUAUAUAUAUACUGUAUAUAUAUCACAUAAUCUUGUAAAAAUGAAUGAAAAAGUUACAUCUUUUCAUUUUUGGAAAGUUGAUGAUAAUUGCAAAUUGAUUAGUUAAAGGUUUUUGAUUGUUUUAAACAGGAAAUAUGUUCCUAAAGUUUAUUAACUGUGUAAAUGUGUUCGACUGAAACUUCUUGUAGCAGCUAAUGUUUGACUUUGUUUUUCCUUUUGUGUUAGAAAUGUGUUUAAAGUGUGUUGAAUUGUAAAGUAUAUGUAUUGUGUGCUUUUUGUAAACAUCACAGACCUUCCUCUGCUCGACACUCUUUCCAUGUUGCACUACUGAGCGCCGCACCAAGCAGUGCAAUGAUGAAAGGGCAUCGAGCAGCCGGGGCUGCUGCACCCACUCUUAUCACCCUUAUUCAUCCCAAUGUCAUUAUUUAUCCUGAUGUUACAGUAUUAUUCACCCUAAUGUUGUUGUUUUUCAUCCAAACUCUCCUCAUUAUAGUUAUAACGAGAGCUUGUAAUAAACAUUAUCCUGCUUUAACUCUGUGCA
Molecule: long non-coding RNA, 1329 nt
Filed under: Gouania willdenowi (blunt-snouted clingfish)
Lineage: Eukaryota; Metazoa; Chordata; Actinopteri; Blenniiformes; Gobiesocidae
Description: lncRNA (ENSGWIG00000014174.1)
Rfam family: mir-454 microRNA precursor family (bases 513-616)
Source: RNAcentral